This 330-nucleotide ribosomal RNA is filed under the name uncultured eukaryote. RNAcentral describes it as "partial 18S ribosomal RNA". It matches the Rfam family "Eukaryotic small subunit ribosomal RNA", at positions 1469 to 1796 of the family's 1831-position model. The record is from RNAcentral.
ACCCUUAGAUGUUCUGGGCCGCACGCGCGCUACACUGGUACGUUCAACAAGUUUACAACCUUGAUCGAUAGGUCUGGGUAAUCUUUUUAAUGCGUACCGUGCUAGGGAUAGAUUAUUGCAAUUAUUAAUCUUGAACGAGGAAUUCCUAGUAAACGCAAGUCAUCAGCUUGCAUUGAUUACGUCCCUGCCCUUUGUACACACCGCCCGUCGCACCUACUGAUUGAAUGACUCGGUGAAAAAUUGGGACUGUGAGAACAAUCGAUUCAGUUCGAAUGUACUCGUGGAAACUUUUUUUAACCUCNCNAUUUAGNAGAAGGUGAANUCGUANCA